GAGUGAGGGGGUGACUAGUGGCAGAGUGAGGGAGGUGGUGACUGUCACUAACAGUCACCACCUCCCUCAUUCUGUCACUAGUCACCACCUCCCUCACUCUGUCACUGGCCACCCACUCCCUCCCUCACUC
Non-coding RNA from Pelobates cultripes (western spadefoot toad), 130 nucleotides. Lineage: Eukaryota; Metazoa; Chordata; Amphibia; Anura; Pelobatidae. The record is from the annotation of a GenBank genome assembly.